AAAUGCUACCAGCAAUGGCUCCCAGCAGUGGCUCUCAGCAAUGGCUCCCAGCUUCUGGCCCACCCAGAGCCAGGGAAGGAACCCAGGUAGGGUGGCAAACCAUUUCUUAAUGGUCUGCCCCAUUACCGAGGAACAGGGCCCCUUUAAUGCUGGUAUCAGAACCAUUACAUCGGGCUGUGGUGGUUAUGCUGCUCGGAGUAAUCUUUAAUAGAAUACAUUGUAGGACUUAGCUCAAGUUGCAGCUUAGGAGGUUCCCCCUGUCCAUUGUUGGCAAUAUAGGGGGGAGCUGCAUCUGACAGACCACAGGUAAGAAACCAAACAAUUAAAAAAUGGCUUGACACGUCAGACACCAUAAUCACAACAGGAAACAACAGUGGUUAUGGUCCUUGGAGCUCCUGUAAAUCUAAUAAAC
Molecule: non-coding RNA, 412 nt
Organism: Pelobates cultripes (western spadefoot toad)
Lineage: Eukaryota; Metazoa; Chordata; Amphibia; Anura; Pelobatidae
Source: the annotation of a GenBank genome assembly